AGGCAUUGUCCAGCCCGCCCAUUGAUUGCCCAUGAAAUUGGGCCUGUAAUAGCCAAGCUCCCACCUGAUGCUGUCCAAGGCCUUGCCUGUUGGGUGUGCUGCACCGUACAAAAACACUGGCACUGCAACAAUAGAGAAAAGGUAACCAAAAGAACCCACAAUGUGCAGAAAUACAUUUAUAAACAGCGUUCUAAAUAAUUAUAGAAUACUAAUUAGACCCACCUUGGAAUAGGCUGCCAAUGUCUGUUGCGACAGCCUUGGCAAGCCAAGCUGCUUCAUCCAAGGAUACCCGAGCCAAGGGAUGCAAAACAAUGUCAUCAACCACACCGAGCCGAGGGUGUGUACCAGAAUGCUGCUCCAGGUUUAUGGUCCCAUAAGCAGC
RNAcentral lists this long non-coding RNA (382 nucleotides) under Gossypium barbadense (sea-island cotton). Its description in RNAcentral is "long non-coding RNA (GBAR_LNC014528)". The record is from RNAcentral. Lineage: Eukaryota; Viridiplantae; Streptophyta; Magnoliopsida; Malvales; Malvaceae.